AGAAGAAUGAUCGAGUGGCCAAUGGUGAUAGACUGUAAAUCUAUUGGAAAUUUCCUACGUAGGUUCGAAUCCUACUUCUUCUA
This 83-nucleotide transfer RNA is filed under the name Friedmanniomyces endolithicus. Its description in RNAcentral is "tRNA-Tyr". It matches the Rfam family "tRNA". Rfam says of the family: Transfer RNA (tRNA) molecules are approximately 80 nucleotides in length. Their secondary structure includes four short double-helical elements and three loops (D, anti-codon, and T loops). Lineage: Eukaryota; Fungi; Ascomycota; Dothideomycetes; Mycosphaerellales; Teratosphaeriaceae. The record is from RNAcentral.